Molecule: non-coding RNA, 86 nt
Organism: Mycena belliarum
Lineage: Eukaryota; Fungi; Basidiomycota; Agaricomycetes; Agaricales; Mycenaceae
Source: the annotation of a GenBank genome assembly
GGCUGGAUAGCUCAGUGGUUAACCUUCGGGUUAGAGCAUCUCACAUGGCAUGAGGAAGGUCCUGGGUUCAAUUCCCAGUCCAACCA